Molecule: ribosomal RNA, 397 nt
Filed under: uncultured bacterium
Lineage: Bacteria
Description: partial 16S ribosomal RNA
Rfam family: Bacterial small subunit ribosomal RNA
Source: RNAcentral
AUAAGUAGGUGGCGAGCGUUGUCCGGAAUUACUGGGCGUAAAGGGCGUGUAGGCGGUCUUGCAAGUCAGAAGUGAAAUUCCUGAGCUCAACUCGGGCGCUGCUUCUGAAACUGCAGGACUUGAGUGCUGGAGGGGAUAGCGGAAUUCCUAGUGGAGCGGUAAAAUGCGCAGAAAUAAGGAAGAACACCGGUGGCGAAGGCGGCUAUCUGGACAGUAAAUGAGGAUGAGGCGCGAAAGCGUGGGGAGCAAACAGGAUUGUAUCCCCGGGUUGUCCAUGCCGUACACAGUGGGCGCUAGGUGUAGGGGUCUUCCAUGCCUUCUGUUCCGUAGCUAACGGAUUAAGCGCCCCACCUGGGGAGUACGGUCGCAAGAUUAAAACUUAAAGGAAUUGGCGGGG